RNAcentral lists this ribosomal RNA (373 nucleotides) under uncultured organism. Its description in RNAcentral is "bacterial SSU rRNA". It matches the Rfam family "Bacterial small subunit ribosomal RNA", at positions 526 to 896 of the family's 1533-position model. The record is from RNAcentral.
CGUAGGGUGCGAGCGUUAAUCGGAAUUACUGGGCGUAAAAGUGUGCGCAGGUGGCCGCGCAUGUCGAGUGUGAAAUCCCCGGGCUUAACUUGGGAAUUGCGCUCGAAACUAUGUGGCUAGAGUGUGGCAGAGGGAGGUGGAAUUCCACGUGUAGCGGUGAAAUGCGUAGAGAUGUGGAGGAACACCAAUGGCGAAGGCAGCCUCCUGGGCCAACACUGACACUCAUGCACGAAAGCGUGGGGAGCAAACAGGAUUAGAAACCCUGGUAGUCCACGCCCUAAACGAUGAUGACUAGUUGUUGGGGGAGUUAAAUCCCUUAGUAACGCAGCUAACGCGCGAAGUCAUCCGCCUGGGGAGUACGGUCGCAAGAUUA